Molecule: ribosomal RNA, 205 nt
Filed under: uncultured Eubacteriales bacterium
Lineage: Bacteria; Bacillati; Bacillota; Clostridia; Eubacteriales
Description: uncultured Clostridiales bacterium partial 16S ribosomal RNA
Rfam family: Bacterial small subunit ribosomal RNA
Source: RNAcentral
UGAGUAGGCGGUUGUAUAUGUCAGGUGUAAAGGCUAUGGCUUAACCAUGGUUAGCACUUGAAACUGUACAACUUGAGUGCAGGAGAGGUAAGUGGAAUUCCUAGUGUAGCGGUGAAAUGCGUAGAUAUUAGGAGGAACACCAGUGGCGAAGGCGACUUACUGGACUGUAACUGACGCUGAGUCACGAAAGCGUGGGUAGCAAACA